Molecule: small RNA, 254 nt
Filed under: Pseudomonas jinjuensis
Lineage: Bacteria; Pseudomonadati; Pseudomonadota; Gammaproteobacteria; Pseudomonadales; Pseudomonadaceae
Description: Pseudomonas sRNA P24
Rfam family: Pseudomonas sRNA P24
About the family: P24 is conserved across several Pseudomonas species and in Azotobacter vinelandii. It appears to be consistently located between a hypothetical protein gene and a transcriptional regulator gene (AsnC family) in the genomes of all these species. P24 has a predicted Rho independent terminator at the 3' end but the function of P24 is unknown.
Source: Rfam by way of RNAcentral
UUGCGGAGUGACUAUAUUAUUGAGCAAUCUUAGCAAUCCUUUGCCGGUUCGUCUGCCGUACUAUUUCUUCCAGAUUCACGGCCCGGACAUCGCGUCCAGCACGAUCCGCCCAAUCAGGCGCAUCGUGGCCGCCGACCCCACAGGGUCGAGCCGGCCCCCGGGCUACGCACCGCCCAGAAGGUGGAGCGAGGUGAGCCGGCGCCAACAGCGACGAGCCAGGACGAGUUUCCCGAAGGGAGGUCAAUGACCUCCCU